This is a long non-coding RNA of Oncorhynchus tshawytscha (Chinook salmon), 819 nucleotides long. Lineage: Eukaryota; Metazoa; Chordata; Actinopteri; Salmoniformes; Salmonidae. The record is from Ensembl.
GGUCAGCGCAUGCUCGCAGUACAUGUCCUGGUAAUACGUCUGGCCCUGCGGCCUUGUGAAUGUUGACCUGUCUAAAGGUCUUAUUCACAUUGGCUGCGGAGAGCAUGAUCACAGUCUUCCGGUACAUCUGGUGCUCUCAUGCAUCUCAUGCUCAUGCUCUCAUGCACUGUUAUUUGCCUCGAAGCGAGCAUAGAAGUAGUUUAGCUCGUCUGAUAGGUUUGUGUCACUUGGCUGUCUCGGUUAGGCAUUACCCCUGUCUGGUUAAUGUAAGGCAUUACUGUGUGGUUAAGCUUAGGUAUUAGCCCUGCAUAGUUAAGGUUAGGAAUUACUGUGUGGUUAAGGUUAGGUAUUAGCCCUGCAUAGUUAAGGUUAUGAAUUACUGUGUGGUUAAGCUUAGGUAUUAGCCCUGCAUAGUUAAGGUUAGGAAUUACUGUGUGGUUAAGCUUCGGUAUUAGCCCUGCAUAGUUAAGGUUAGGAAUUACUGUGUGGUUAAGCUUAGGUAUUAGCCCUGCAUAGUUAAGGUUAGGAAUUACUGUGUGGUUAAGCUUAGGUAUUAGCCCUGCAUAGUUAAGGUUAGGAAUUACUGUGUGGUUAAGCUUAGGUAUUAGCCCUGCAUAGUUAAGGUUAGGAAUUACUGUGUGGUUAAGCUUAGGUAUUAGCCCUGCAUAGUUAAGGUUAGGCAUUACUGUGCGGAUAAGGUUAGGUAUUAGCCCUGCAUAGUUUAGGUUAGGCAUUACUGUGCGGUUAAGGAAAGGCAAUACCCCUGUGUGCUUAAAGUUUGGCAAUACCCCUGUGUGGUUAAGGAUAGGCAAUACCCCU